UCAAACUUGGUCAUUUAGAGGAAGUAAAAGUCGUAACAAGGUUUCCGUAGGUGAACCUGCGGAAGGAUCAUUAGAGAAAGCGCUCCCCCCCCGGGGCGCAACUAUCUAAACAACCCAACACCCGUGCAUCUCCCGGGUCGCGGAAGCGGCCCGUUUUUUUUCUCCACGCCCACUCCGUAACGUACCCGAACGCCUAAAAGUUAUAUACAACUUUCAACAAUGGAUCUCUUGGCUCUCGCAUCGAUGAAGAACGCAGC
RNAcentral lists this unclassified non-coding RNA (257 nucleotides) under uncultured fungus. Its description in RNAcentral is "partial contains small subunit ribosomal RNA, internal transcribed spacer 1, and 5.8S ribosomal RNA". The stretch from base 1 to 73 matches the Rfam family "Eukaryotic small subunit ribosomal RNA", at positions 1759 to 1831 of the family's 1831-position model. Lineage: Eukaryota; Fungi. The record is from RNAcentral.